GAUGAACGCUGGCGGCGUGCCUAAUACAUGCAAGUCGAGCGAACAGACGAGGAGCUUGCUCCUCUGACGUUAGCGGCGGACGGGUGAGUAACACGUGGAUAACCUACCUAUAAGACUGGGAUAACUUCGGGAAACCGGAGCUAAUACCGGAUAUUUUAUUGAACGGCUGGUUUCAUUGGUGAAAGAGGGUUUGGUGGUCCCUAUUGGUUGAUCCGCGCCGCAUUAGGUAGUUGGUAAGGUAACGGCUUACCAAGGCGACGAUGCGUAGCCGACCUGAGAGGGUGAUCGGCCACACUGGAACUGAGACACGGUCCAGACUCCUACGGGAGGCAGCAGUAGGGAAUCUUCCGCAAUGGGCGAAAGCCUGACGGAGCAACGCCGCGUGAGUGAUGAAGGUCUUCGGAUCGUAAAACUCUGUUAUUAGGGAAGAACAAAUGUGUAAGUAACUAUGCACGUCUUGACGGUACCUAAUCAGAAAGCCACGGCUAACUACGUG
This 496-nucleotide ribosomal RNA is filed under the name uncultured bacterium. RNAcentral describes it as "partial 16S ribosomal RNA". It matches the Rfam family "Bacterial small subunit ribosomal RNA", at positions 28 to 507 of the family's 1533-position model. The record is from RNAcentral.